CACUAGAGUCUCACCACCCUGAAUGUGCCAGAUCUCAUCUGAUCUUGGAAGCUAAACAGGCUGGGGCUUGGUUAGCACUUGGAUGGGAGAAAAUUCACGCACUAGGAC
This is a ribosomal RNA of Fukomys damarensis (Damara mole-rat), 108 nucleotides long. NCBI's taxonomy places the organism in Eukaryota, Metazoa, Chordata, Mammalia, Rodentia, Bathyergidae. The record is from Ensembl.